Molecule: non-coding RNA, 1298 nt
Organism: Cercocebus atys (sooty mangabey)
Lineage: Eukaryota; Metazoa; Chordata; Mammalia; Primates; Cercopithecidae
Source: the annotation of a RefSeq genome assembly
GAGCUGGGAUCUCAGGAGGCAGCGCUCUCAGGACAUCUCCACCAUGGCCCGGGCUCUGCUCCUCCUCACCCUCCUCACUCAGGGCACAGGGUCCUGGGCUCAGUCUGCCCUGACUCAGCCUCCCUCUGUGUCCGGGUCUCCUGGACAGUCGGUCACCAUCUCCUGCACUGGAACCAGCAGUGACAUUGGUGGUUAUGACCGUGUCUCCUGGUACCAACAGCACCCAGGCACAGCCCCCAGACUCCUGAUUUAUGAUGUCAGUAAGCGGCCCUCAGGGAUCUCUGAUCGCUUCUCUGGCUCCAAGUCUGGCAACACGGCCUCCCUGACCAUCUCUGGGCUCCAGGCUGAGGACGAGGCUGAUUAUUACUGCUGCUCAUAUAGGAGUGGAAGCACUUUCCACAGUGGUCCAAGUUCAUGGGGAACUGAGACCAAAACCUAUCCUGGGCUCUCAGGCUCCCUUUCUGCUCUGAAGAUGCUUCCUCACCCAGUGCAAGGGGCUUUCUGCAGCAUGACCUUCAAAAUUCUUCUCUCUCAGCUCCUCUCCUUUCCCACCAUGAAAUCCAAAAGGAAACCUGCCCUGUGGUUUCUCAUUUAGGACAGGGACAGCUUCCUGAUGCAUGUGUGCUGUGGUCCCUGAAUGUGCAACUCUUCCUAGCUCUUCAAAUACAGGGACAGUGACAAGGAGCUGCCUGAUUGAUGUAGUCACUGAUUUUUUGGGGAUGUCUUCACCCUAAAUACAUCACCAUCUCCCACACCGUGGGUAGAAUUUUAGCCAACUACAUUCUAAUGGUUAUCGCCACAACUUUGAUCUUAGAAACAACAGUGCAGCGAACAUCCCUAUGCAGCCUCCUUUGCGUUCCUGUGUGAAUAUGACGAUAUGAUCUGAAAGUGACGAUAUUUCUGAAAGUGAAAUUGCGGAUCAGAAAGAUGUGUGCUUGUAAUUUUCACCGGUUGUUGUCAGAUUCACCGCCAGAGAGAUCUACCAAUUUUCAAUGCCAGCCAUAAGUGCUUACUCAGAGUAUAUUGUUGAAAGUGUAAAUUUUUGCAAACAUAUCAAACUGAAAAAUGUUACCUUUUUACAGUUUUAUUUUUGAGUCUCCUGUUCUGCCUAAGAUUGGGCCUUUUCAGAAAUAGUUCAUUACUUUUUCUUUUUUGCAUUUGUUAAACUUUUUCUUAAAUAUCGAGAUAAGAAGAAUUUUAGUCUUUGUAGCCAGGCACUAUGGCUCACGCCUGUAAUCCCGAGCACUUUGGAGGGGUAAGACGGGUGAAUUGCUUGAUCCCAGGAAUUUGAGAUUAGU